GGAGCCUAAACAACAAACGUAAAGCAAUGAAAAUAUUUUAAUGAUUUGUGCGUGGGAUUGAUAAUGCAUUGGAAUGACAAAAUUUAGGAGAAUUUCCAUCAAAGAGUGUUUUUAACAUGAAAUAAGUCGAAUAAUUGGCUAAUUUACAAAAACAAAAACAGUUUAUAAAUCAGAUGUAAAUAUUAUUCAAUUCUGGCGAACAAAAUAAUUGUGCACUAAAUCAGCCGUUCAACAGUUUAAACUCAAUUCCCUAAUUCAGAAAUGUUGAAGAACGCCCCAUGUAUGUACACCCCCGCUGAGUGAAUGAGCCCAUUAAUCAAUCAUUGAGCUUCCAACAAAAGCACUGUUAUUAAUCAAUUCGAUCGAAUAUUAGCUCAUAAGUGACAUGAAAACGGACAAAACCAGGCGAACAAUCGUCGAAAAUGUUCAUUGAUAUGUUCACAUGUAUGUGUGUGUGUGUGUGUAAGAGUAUUUAUGCCAUAAACAUGUGUGCAAUCUGCUCGUGUGCGUUUUUAAUUAAAAUUGAGUUCCAAGUUCAGCACAAAGCCGCGCGAUAUUAAUGAGAAUUGAAUGCGCAGCGCAUGCAAUGGAGAAAACUGGUCGAGAGGAAUUCUAGAACCAGGCAAUAACAACGACAUACUAGAUACUAAUAAAUAUUGCGGAAGGAAAAAAUAAUAUGGCAAAGUAAUGCAAUCGCCACGUCGUUAGACCACAGCAAGCCAAAGUCAAAGCCAUGGCAAAUACUACGGCAAAAGCAGCAACAAUGUGCCAUAAUCACAUACACAUACACUUGCAGGGCAGGUCUUUGUAUGUGUGUGUGUCAUUGUCAACCACACCAUUGAACCGCCGACAAAACUACAACGUGCACCAAGCUUGAGGGUUUGUAGCAACUGUUGCAUGCACAUAUUUCUGCAAACUGUACGCCAGUGGCGACUGAAUUACUUAGUCUUUUAUAUUUUGCGACGCAAUUGCCACAAUUAACAAGUAUAAAUUGAAAUUGCAAUUCAACGCCGCAUGUGGCAAAAUGCGAGGAGCGGUAAUUGCGAAUGCAACAACAACAAUAACAAGAGCUUGGAAACUAUUAUGAGCCAUAAAGAUGAGUUCGCAGGAGGCGACACAUAUCACAAAGACACAUUGCAUAUUAGAGUCACAAUCGCGACACAAUGAGAGGGGAAAGCAAUGGGCAAGCCUAGACGCAUGUACCCAUGUAUGUGUAUUUCUUUUAUUUAUCAACUAUUUAUUCCAGUACCAUUAACAUUGGUUGCUGUGAAAUCUAAGCUAAGCCACUCAUCUAGAAGUUAGCUUACGAAAUCGUUCGAAAUGCGAAAGAAAAAACCCUGAGAUCAUUUGCGAGUACACGUUUGACUUGUGACUUUGGAAAUGUUUAAAACAAAUUAUUAUAACACUGAUCACUGCCAAACGACGAUUUUAAUCGAUAAGUUUGUAUGGCAGCUAUAUGUUGUAAGGCUGCAAUUUCGGUCAAUUCUAACAAAUGCGCAGCUUCUUCGGAAGGAAAAGGCGUGUAAAUAUAUUCAGAUCGAUAUCAAAAACUGAAGGGCUGUUCUUGUAUUCGAAGUUUCUCCGGUAAUUAAUUAAACUGGGUGCUUCUUUUCACCAAAGUAUCAAAAAGUGGCAAAAUACAUGUUAAGCUACGCGAUUGAAGCAGUGAAUCAAACCUACUUUUAAGGACCAGGAAUCAUACCCUUCAGCAAUAUCUGAUUUUUCGCAAUGAUGAAAUGUUGAAGCUCGCGAAGUGAGCAGCGGAAAAAAAUUAGCUAGUAACGGUGGUUAACAAAGUAUAUGCACGUAAGAACACGCUGACGAUGAAAUGUGGCUCAGUGCAAUUGUUGUUGUCGAAAAGUGCAGCCUUUGCUGCAAAUAGGCGCUGCGAUAGUCAACGAACCAGCGGUGUACAUACAUACAUACCAUGUGUACGUGUGUUUGCGGUUGGCUUUUGCUGCUUAUAUGAUGAAUGAUGCCUGGUUUGUUGGUUGCUGGCUCGGAAGCUGCUUUAGUGGUCUAGUGGUGGGAGCGGGGGAGUGGCAUCCACGCCGCUGGUUAUACGCUGCGCUUUGAGAGUAAACAAAUGCAGAUAAGUAAGGUAAAUGGCGGAAGGCGGGCAAAGCAAGAGCAGACAAAGUGGUAACUGAGUAAGUAUAGGCAGUUUCUACCGAAACUUAUAUCAGUUGGCAGUCAGGAGGGAAUAUUUGUCUAACGAAACAAUAGUUUUACAAAAUAAAAAUAUUAUUAAUGCAAGAAAUAGUAUCUAAAUAUAUAGAACUUGAAUUAUUCGUUAAAAAAUUAAUGUGCAAAGUAAAGUUAUUGAAUUGAGACGUUUUUACACAAAACUAAAUUAUGGAAUCUUUAAAGCAAUAAAUGAAAUUUAAUUUUUAAGAAAA
Molecule: non-coding RNA, 2399 nt
Organism: Bactrocera oleae (olive fruit fly)
Lineage: Eukaryota; Metazoa; Arthropoda; Insecta; Diptera; Tephritidae
Source: RefSeq, a predicted model, not a curated record